CCACGUUCUAGCUAAAUUGUACCUUGCGGGGGUGCUGUGACAGCGUUUUAGUGCUUUCAGGGGAACAAUGGGGUUCUGGCAGUGUAGGGGGAAGUGUGUUCUUGCUGGCAUUGCUGCAGGCUGAAGAGAAGGAGUGAAUGAGUGCCAGAGGCUGUGUCCAGGCAUGGAAACCUGUCCAACGGUCAAGAUUUGUCUUGCAAGCAUCUGGAGCUAGAGGACAGGCAAAAGGAGGACAAAGCCAGGUUCAGAUGUGGUCUCUCUCAGGGUAUGCACAACAUGUCCAGCCAUUUGAUAGCAUGGAUAGCAGCCAGGUGAAGAGCCGGUAGCCCGCAGGCGAAGUAAGUCAGCAGGCACUUUCCAAGGAUAUGCAACGUCGCACUCCCUGUCAGUGCCCAGCCAGGGGAAGCGAGUGAACCGAAUUCGGUGAUGAAUCUUGGUCACGUGCCAUCUGACUGCGACCCUGAUGUAUGGCCCAUCCUUCGACUUUCGAGCCAUUGGACCAUCACUUCGAAUUCUUCAGAUUAAUGCUGAGGGUCUGUCAGCAGGGCUUCCAGACUAAUGCAGUAUUGCCAACUCUCAUGACUGUUGCUAUUUUUCUUGAGGGCCCUGCUCGAGGAAUCAUGAAAACCCCAGCUUUCAUUAAACAAAAAAGAAGUUUCUAGCUCUCAUGGUUGCAGAGGAAAACUGGAAAGCAAAACCCAGGGGCCCCCCGGAGAUUCAAAAACCUGAAGGGAUAUUAAAAAAGGAAUUCAAAAAUUGUUAUUUUUUAAAAGCUCAAGAUUUUUUUUUCAGACCUGGCUCAUGAUUUUAUGAAUGUUUGGGAUGGCCCACGCUGAUACUGUAAUGCAAAGAAUAAUGAAUGAGGUGAAUGGGUGAGCGCUGACAAGACUGGGUUCUGAUCUCAUUAGCUGGGCAGACAAGCCUGAGUUUGAACGGCCAGGGCAGAAAAUGCAACUGUGGUGUAACAUUUAGGCAUUCCCCAAAGCUUCACGCUGAGUCAUACAAGUGUCAAGAUAAUAUGGUGGUGGGUGCUGUGAUUAGGUUAGAUUAGAUUGGCUAUGUCUUUGCUGGGGGAAAAAGGUGUGUUCUUAACUCCGCUUAAUAUAGGAGUGAAGACAUAGCGACUUGGUUUUAACUGGGUUUAGCAGUUUGAGUUCAACUCCACUAAAGGAGUUCCUCACACUCCUAAUCUGAGUUGCUGUAUCUUCACUGUUUGCUAACCUGAGUUAAGAACACACCUCUUUUUGCAGUGAAUGCACGGUUUUUGUGCAAGCAUCUGGGAGUGUGACAAAAGCAGACAAGCCCUUACACAUACCCUGGUCACGGACCCUGCAGGGGAAGUUAGCUAUUGAAAGAUCUCUCUGUGUGCUAAGAAAGCUCGUGAGAAAUAAGGGGGAAAGAUGGUGGCUGAUUAUGUUGUUGGUUUUUAAGCCACUCCUGUUUUUUGUUGUUGUUGAAUGCUUGGGGUUCACAAUAUUGGUGACUGAACUUAAUUCCAGCUAGGCAGCACAACACCCAUCUACUGUUCCUGCCGCUACGCCAUCACCUGGGGUUAGCUGCAGCUUAACCACAUUGGCUAGAUCUACGCCAUGCCCUAACCACUGUGGUUGACAUCACUCAGACAUUCAGCGUCACACUAGCUCCUAACUAUGAGGUAUUGUCUCUGCUGUGAGUAGGUGGGGAACAAGCAAAAGGGAGGCGACACAAGAGCUUCUCGCUCGCACCUUCUCGCACAGAAUCAUAACAACUAGAGGUGCAAGGAUCUUGGUGAAUUUACAUUCGCAACACCCCUUUCAGGUAAGGCAGUUUUAUCGCCACCCACUUUAAAUGGAGACGGGAAUCACAGCCAGAUUAAGGGACUUGCCCACGGUUGCGCAGGAAGCCUGUGACACAGCGUAGUGUUGAGCACAGAGGCCCAGAGCCUCAAAACUCCAUUGAAAUGAAUGGGCCAUGUCUACACAUGCAGCGAGCUAUCCCGCUGCAGUACAUCUGGUGAAGACUCUUCCAUCGGCAUAAAAAACCUACCUGCGUGAGCUCUCCCACCGAAAUAGUACUGUGCACGUGAGCACUUAUGUAGGUGUAAUUUAUGUGGCUCUAGGGGGAGGUUUAUUCACACCCCUGAGCUAUAUAAGUUAUGCUGAGAUACGCUGUAAUGUAGACAUGGCUUUAGUCACCUAAAUACCUCUGAGGAUCUGGGCCAGACUUUUAAAUUCCAUUUCAUUGUCUUAACCACACCACCACCCUUCCCCUGUGAUCUCAGUGGAGUCAAUCUAGUUUUACAGUGGGUUCUUCAAAGGGCUCAGAAUCUAGUGCACAAUACUGUUUACAGGACUAUAGCAGAGCCACAUAAUACAGUAACUCCUCACUUAAAGUCAUCCCGGUUAACGUUGUUUCGUUGUUAUGUUGCUGAUC
Molecule: non-coding RNA, 2412 nt
Organism: Chrysemys picta bellii (western painted turtle)
Lineage: Eukaryota; Metazoa; Chordata; Testudines; Emydidae
Source: RefSeq, a predicted model, not a curated record